Molecule: ribosomal RNA, 456 nt
Filed under: uncultured bacterium
Lineage: Bacteria
Description: bacterial SSU rRNA
Rfam family: Bacterial small subunit ribosomal RNA
Source: RNAcentral
GCACAAGCGGUGGAGCAUGUGGAUUAAUUCGAUGCAACGCGAAGAACCUUACCUACCCUUGACAUGUACGGAAGGCCGAAGAGAUUUGGCUGUGCUCGAAAGAGAACCGUAACACAGGUGCUGCAUGGCUGUCGUCAGCUCGUGUCGUGAGAUGUUGGGUUAAGUCCCGCAACGAGCGCAACCCUUGUCAUUAGUUGCUACAUUUAGUUGAGCACUCUAAUGAGACUGCCGGUGACAAACCGGAGGAAGGUGGGGAUGACGUCAAGUCCUCAUGGCCCUUAUGGGUAGGGCUUCACACGUCAUACAAUGGUACAUACAGAGGGCCGCCAACCCGCGAGGGGGAGCUAAUCCCAGAAAGUGUAUCGUAGUCCGGAUCGCAGUCUGCAACUCGACUGCGUGAAGUUGGAAUCGCUAGUAAUCGCGGAUCAGCAUGUCGCGGUGAAUACGUUCCCGGGC